Molecule: non-coding RNA, 145 nt
Organism: Acidithrix ferrooxidans
Lineage: Bacteria; Bacillati; Actinomycetota; Acidimicrobiia; Acidimicrobiales; Acidimicrobiaceae
Source: Rfam
CCUGUCAUUCAGCUGACAAGCCCACCGACACAUGCGAGAGGAGUAAUUCUCUGGUGUGGAGCUGUCGGAAAAGUACCCGCGGGAAAUCUCAUAGGCCAAACCGUGAGGUGAAGCCGACACUGCCAGCAACAAGGCCCUAAGGGGC